GAGUUUGAUCCUGGCUCAGAACGUACGCUGGCGGCACGCCUAACACAUGCAAGUCGAACGAAGUAGCAAUACUUAGUGGCAGACGGGUGAGUAACAUGUAGGUAUCUGCCCUUUGGCCUGGAAUAACACGAGGAAACUUGUGCUAAUACCGGAUAAGUCUUUACGGAGAAAGCUUUUUGCACCAUUGGAUGAGCCUGCACUUGAUUAGUUUGUUGGUGGGGUAAUGGCCUACCAAGACUGUGAUCAAUAGCUGAUUUGAGAGGAUGAUCAGCCACAUUGGGACUGAGACACGGCCCAAACUCCUACGGGAGGCAGCAGUGGGGAAUCUUGCACAAUGGAGGAAACUCUGAUGCAGCGAUGCCGCGUGAGUGAAGAAGGCCCUUGGGUUGUAAAGCUCUUUCGUCGGGGAAGAAAAUGACUGUACCCGAAUAAGAAGGUCCGGCUAACUUCGUGCCAGCAGCCGCGGUAAUACGAAGGGACCUAGCGUAGUUCGGAAUUACUGGGCUUAAAGAGUUCGUAGGUGGUUGAAAAAGUUAGUGGUGAAAUCCCAGAGCUUAACUCUGGAACUGCCAUUAAAACUUU
Molecule: ribosomal RNA, 582 nt
Filed under: uncultured bacterium
Lineage: Bacteria
Description: bacterial SSU rRNA
Rfam family: Bacterial small subunit ribosomal RNA
Source: RNAcentral